UACGAAGGGGGCUAGCGUUGCUCGGAAUCACUGGGCGUAAAGGGCGCGUAGGCGGAUCUUUAAGUCAGUGGUGAAAGCCCAGGGCUCAACCCUGGAAUUGCCUUUGAUACUGAUUGUCUUGAGUAUGGGAGAGGUAUGCGGAACUCCGAGUGUAGAGGUGAAAUUCGUAGAUAUUCGGAAGAACACCAGUGGCGAAGGCGGCAUACUGGCCCAUUACUGACGCUGAGGCUCGAAAGCGUGGGGAGCAAACAGG
This 253-nucleotide ribosomal RNA is filed under the name uncultured bacterium. Its description in RNAcentral is "partial 16S ribosomal RNA". It matches the Rfam family "Bacterial small subunit ribosomal RNA", at positions 524 to 776 of the family's 1533-position model. The record is from RNAcentral.